GGCAUCUUGGCCGAGCGGUCUAAGGCGUCUGACUCAAGAUCAGAUUUGGGGAACCAAGCGCGGGUUCGAAUCCCGCAGAUGCUA
Molecule: transfer RNA, 84 nt
Organism: Trachipleistophora hominis
Lineage: Eukaryota; Fungi; Microsporidia; Pleistophoridae
Rfam family: tRNA
About the family: Transfer RNA (tRNA) molecules are approximately 80 nucleotides in length. Their secondary structure includes four short double-helical elements and three loops (D, anti-codon, and T loops).
Source: Rfam